Molecule: long non-coding RNA, 525 nt
Organism: Engraulis encrasicolus (European anchovy)
Lineage: Eukaryota; Metazoa; Chordata; Actinopteri; Clupeiformes; Engraulidae
Exons: 5
Source: RefSeq, a predicted model, not a curated record
GCAGGGGAGUGUCAGACUUGAGGACAAGCAUGCCUACUUUGUGGCCUCGAUGCGCAGGAAGCGCUUGGAAGAAGAGAAAGGCAUCCUCGUGAAGGAGAUGGAACAGCACACUACAUCACUGAAAAGAUUGAUGUCUUGUCUAGAAGCAAAGAUGUCAUCGGCAGAGUCACAAAAUGAGGGCCUUUCUGCCUUCUGUCGAAGACGGCUUCAUGACCUGACAAUCGUCCAUCUUUCUGCUGUGGCAAGCUACAGGGCUGUUUUAAGCCCACAGGGGACCAAUAGGCCAUCUUGUGAGGAAGGGCAGGGAGAUGACGGGAAUGAGGACGAUGUACACAGCAGUGAUUUCUCAUACACCAGUGAUGAGGAAGAAACGGAGUGUAGUUCUUUAAUCUGAGACGGUUUGGAAUCAUCAAUCAUCAUUCCUUGACACCCGCAGCUGUCUCCUUUCUCCUGCUUUCUCCAACACACCAACAGCCUCUCUCUGUCCUGCUCUCCUCUGUCUCCUCCAUCCUGAUCUCCAGUGCA